UACGUAGGGGGCAAGCGUUGUCCGGAAUUACUGGGCGUAAAGCGUGCGCAGGCGGUUCGCAAAGACAGGUGUGAAAUCCCCGGGCUUAACCUGGGAACUGCGCUUGUAACUAGCGGGCUAGAGUACGGCAGAGGGGGGUGGAAUUCCACGUGUAGCAGUGAAAUGCGUAGAGAUGUGGAGGAACACCGAUGGCGAAGGCAGCCCCCUGGGCUAGUACUGACGCUCAUGCACAAAAGCGUGGGGAGCAAACAGG
This 253-nucleotide ribosomal RNA is filed under the name uncultured bacterium. Its description in RNAcentral is "partial 16S ribosomal RNA". It matches the Rfam family "Bacterial small subunit ribosomal RNA", at positions 524 to 776 of the family's 1533-position model. The record is from RNAcentral.